Pseudopipra pipra is the source of this 183-nucleotide long non-coding RNA. RefSeq lists it as uncharacterized. The record is from RefSeq and is a predicted model, not a curated record. The transcript has 2 exons. NCBI's taxonomy places the organism in Eukaryota, Metazoa, Chordata, Aves, Passeriformes, Pipridae.
GGCAGCCUUGGAAGACACAGAUAGCUGCAGUGUGGAAGGAAGAGCCAGAAGAUACCACACCACACCUGCUUAGAAAGCCUUGUUUGCUGUUGAGUUGCCUGCAUCUCCAGAAACUUGUUUUGCCUGACGUUUAGAUAGAGUUUGAAUCACUUUUCAAAUGCAAUAAAAGAGGUCUGAAAAACA